Molecule: ribosomal RNA, 229 nt
Filed under: uncultured bacterium
Lineage: Bacteria
Description: partial 16S ribosomal RNA
Rfam family: Bacterial small subunit ribosomal RNA
Source: RNAcentral
UGAGCAAUGUGCCCUUGACUCUGGGAUAAGCGCUGGAAACGGCGUCUAAUACCGGAUACGACCAUCGGAGGCAUCUCCUGGUGGUGGAAAGAACUUCGGUCAAGGAUCAGCUCACGGCCUAUCAGCUUGUUGGUGAGGUAAUGGCUCACCAAGGCGACGACGGGUAGCCGGCCUGAGAGGGUGACCGGCCACACUGGGACUGAGACACGGCCCAGACUCCGUAGGGAGG